GUCCAUGUAGCUCAGCAGGAAGAGCAACCGCCUUGUAAGCGGUAGGUCGAGCGUUCGAAACGUCUCCUUGGGCACCA
Molecule: transfer RNA, 77 nt
Filed under: Rhodoferax saidenbachensis
Lineage: Bacteria; Pseudomonadati; Pseudomonadota; Betaproteobacteria; Burkholderiales; Comamonadaceae
Description: tRNA-Thr
Rfam family: tRNA
About the family: Transfer RNA (tRNA) molecules are approximately 80 nucleotides in length. Their secondary structure includes four short double-helical elements and three loops (D, anti-codon, and T loops). Further hydrogen bonds mediate the characteristic L-shaped molecular structure. tRNAs have two regions of fundamental functional importance: the anti-codon, which is responsible for specific mRNA codon recognition, and the 3' end, to which the tRNAs corresponding amino acid is attached (by aminoacyl-tRNA synthetases). tRNAs cope with the degeneracy of the genetic code in two manners: having more than one tRNA (with a specific anti-codon) for a particular amino acid; and 'wobble' base-pairing, i.e. permitting non-standard base-pairing at the 3rd anti-codon position.
Source: RNAcentral